UGAUGAUGCAGUGGUCUGUUUCUCUCUCUCUGACUGGCGGUCGUGAUGUGCAGGAUAAACCAAGCAGCACUUCUCUUCAUUCAGCUUUUAGUGAUGUGUCAUGUCUUUGCAGAAAACCACAGGUCUACCUUUGUGUUCAGAGGAGGCUCAGUGACCCUGACUUGCAACAUAUCCAACAAAAAUGCAACACAAAUCUCCUGGACCAACGGCAGAUCUGUUUUCCAAUAUUCCGUUGUGCUGAACUGCACAUUUUCAAAUUUCUCAUUUUACAAACUGAAUAUAAAUCAUGAGUUACCUACAGAGCUAACUAUUUUUAGUGCUCAGCCUGAGGAUAAAGGACUUUAUACAUGUGCCAUAACUGGCAAAAAUGGCCUACACAGCAUUACGUGGAAUUUAACUGUGUCUGAGAAACCCACAGAAUCCAUUUCAAAGUAUUUUCUAUCCAUGCUAUCACCUGCAAUUGGAUUCAUUCUAUGUGGCAUCAUGUUGGCUGUUUUCCUCUGCAGUUGGAGCUCCAUCAACCACAGGGUCACACUGCUCAUUGGAAAAAUAACAAGCGGAGGAGUCAGUAUAUGGAGAACCUGAAUUUAAUCUAUGAUCACUUCUAAGCUGAUGAGCCAUGCAGUUACACAGAGACAUGGACAUUUUCAUUUUCAAAGCAGGAACUGCAUGAGAACACAUCAGA
Molecule: long non-coding RNA, 685 nt
Organism: Oreochromis aureus
Lineage: Eukaryota; Metazoa; Chordata; Actinopteri; Cichliformes; Cichlidae
Source: Ensembl